GCCCGGAUUCUGUGGGAGCUGCG
RNAcentral lists this microRNA (23 nucleotides) under Drosophila ananassae. Its description in RNAcentral is "Dan-Mir-29-P2g_5p* (star (passenger))". Lineage: Eukaryota; Metazoa; Arthropoda; Insecta; Diptera; Drosophilidae. The record is from RNAcentral.